UACGGAGGGGGCGAGCGUUAUUCGGAAUUAUUGGGCGUAAAGGGCGCGUAGGCGGCCCGACAAGCGUGGGGUGAAAGUCCGGGGCUCAACCCCGGAUCGGCCUCGCGAACUGUCGGGCUGGAGCACUGUAGGGGCGGGUGGAAUUCCGGGUGUAGCGGUGGAAUGCGCAGAUAUCAGGAGGAACACCAAUUGCGAAGGCAGCUCGCUGGGACGUUACUGACGCUGAGACGCGAAAGCGUGGGGAGCAAACAGG
This 253-nucleotide ribosomal RNA is filed under the name uncultured bacterium. RNAcentral describes it as "partial 16S ribosomal RNA". It matches the Rfam family "Bacterial small subunit ribosomal RNA", at positions 524 to 776 of the family's 1533-position model. The record is from RNAcentral.